RNAcentral lists this ribosomal RNA (252 nucleotides) under uncultured bacterium. RNAcentral's name for it is "partial 16S ribosomal RNA". It matches the Rfam family "Bacterial small subunit ribosomal RNA", at positions 524 to 776 of the family's 1533-position model. The record is from RNAcentral.
GACGGAGGAUGCAAGUGUUAUCCGGAAUCACUGGGCGUAAAGCGUCUGUAGGUGGUUCGAAAAGUCCACUGUUAAAAAUUGAGGCUUAACCUCAAAGAUGCCGUGGAAACUUUCAAACUAGAGUAUGGUAGGGGUAGAGGGAAUUUCCAGUGGAGCGGUGAAAUGCGUAGAUAUCGGAAGGAACACCAGUGGCGAAAGCGGCUUCCUGGUCCGACACCGACGUCAGGCACGAAAGCGUGGGGAGCAAACGGG